This 1346-nucleotide ribosomal RNA is filed under the name uncultured bacterium. Its description in RNAcentral is "partial 16S ribosomal RNA". It matches the Rfam family "Bacterial small subunit ribosomal RNA", at positions 28 to 1381 of the family's 1533-position model. The record is from RNAcentral.
GACGAACGCUUGCGGCGUGCUUAACACAUGCAAGUCGAACGGAAAGGCCCUGCUUUUGUGGGGUGCUCGAGUGGCGAACGGGUGAGUAACACGUGAGUAACCUGCCCUUGACUUUGGGAUAACUUCAGGAAACUGGGGCUAAUACCGGAUAGGAGCUCCUGCUGCAUGGUGGGGGUUGGAAAGUUUCGGCGGUUGGGGAUGGACUCGCGGCUUAUCAGCUUGUUGGUGGGGUAGUGGCUUACCAAGGCUUUGACGGGUAGCCGGCCUGAGAGGGUGACCGGCCACAUUGGGACUGAGAUACGGCCCAGACUCCUACGGGAGGCAGCAGUGGGGAAUAUUGCACAAUGGGCGGAAGCCUGAUGCAGCAACGCCGCGUGCGGGAUGACGGCCUUCGGGUUGUAAACCGCUUUCGCCUGUGACGAAGCGUGAGUGACGGUAAUGGGUAAAGAAGCACCGGCUAACUACGUGCCAGCAGCCGCGGUGAUACGUAGGGUGCGAGCGUUGUCCGGAUUUAUUGGGCGUAAAGGGCUCGUAGGUGGUUGAUCGCGUCGGAAGUGUAAUCUUGGGGCUUAACCCUGAGCGUGCUUUCGAUUCGGGUUGACUUGAGGAAGGUAGGGGAGAAUGGAAUUCCUGGUGGAGCGGUGGAAUGCGCAGAUAUCAGGAGGAACACCAGUGGCGAAGGCGGUUCUCUGGGCCUUUCCUGACGCUGAGGAGCGAAAGCGUGGGGAGCGAACAGGCUUAGAUACCCUGGUAGUCCACGCUGUAAACGGUGGGUACUAGGUGUGGGGUCCAUUCCACGGGUUCCGUGCCGUAGCUAACGCUUUAAGUACCCCGCCUGGGGAGUACGGCCGCAAGGCUAAAACUCAAAGGAAUUGACGGGGCCCCGCACAAGCGGCGGAGCAUGCGGAUUAAUUCGAUGCAACGCGUAGAACCUUACCUGGGUUUGACAUGGAUCGGGAGUGCUCAGAGAUGGGUGUGCCUCUUUUGGGGUCGGUUCACAGGUGGUGCAUGGCUGUCGUCAGCUCGUGUCGUGAGAUGUUGGGUUAAGUCCCGCAACGAGCGCAACCCUUGUUCACUGUUGCCAGCACGUUAUGGUGGGGACUCAGUGGAGACCGCCGGGGUCAACUCGGAGGAAGGUGGGGAUGACGUCGAGUCAUCAUGCCCCUUAUGUCCAGGGCUUCACGCAUGCUACAAUGGCUGGUACAGAGAGUGGCGAGCCUGUGAGGGUGAGCGAAUCUCGGAAAGCCGGUCUCAGUUCGGAUUGGGGUCUGCAACUCGACCUCAUGAAGUCGGAGUCGCUAGUAAUCGCAGAUCAGCAACGCUGCGGUGAAUACGUUCCCGGGGCC